Molecule: ribosomal RNA, 5414 nt
Filed under: Streptococcus pneumoniae
Lineage: Bacteria; Bacillati; Bacillota; Bacilli; Lactobacillales; Streptococcaceae
Description: 23S ribosomal RNA
Rfam family: Bacterial large subunit ribosomal RNA (bases 2428-5414)
Source: RNAcentral
UUAUUUGAAGUUUCCUAUACAACGAUUGAGUUUGCAUUUGGUAAGGCUGAAACGAUUCAAGAGGUCGAAAAUCGUUUCAAUAAUUAUAUGAAUGUAAUUCAGAGAAAGUUAGCUGAAUCAAAUCAUGCUAUUGUUGGCUGUGGUAUCCAUCCCAACUGGGAUAAAAAUGAGAAUUGUCCAGUGGCUUAUCCACGCUAUCAGAUGUUGAUGGAUUAUUUGAAUUUGAGUAGAAAUAUUAUUAAAUCAGAUUUACAUCAUUUCCCUGAAUAUGGUACUUUUAUCUGUGGGAGCCAGGUUCAGCUGGAUAUUUCAAAAACCAACUACUUACGGGUGAUUAAUGCUUUUACUCAAAUUGAAGCGGCUAAGGCUUAUUUAUUUGCAAACUCUGAAUUUUCGGGUGCGGAUUGGGAUACGAAAAUUUCAAGGGAUAUUUUCUGGGAAGAAUCUAUGCAUGGUAUCUAUCCAGAGAAUGUUGGGGUCAAUGCUAGACUCCUUAAUGAUGAAGCUGAUUUUUUUGACUAUCUAAAUCAUUCUGCGAUUUUUACUGCGGAACGUGAUGGGCAGACCUAUUAUUUUUAUCCUAUUCAGGCUGGGGACUAUUUGGCUACGUCCGAAAUCCAAGCAUUUGCUCUGAAUGGGGAUGAGGUUAUUAUUUACCCCCAAGAGAAGGAUUUUGAAACUCAUCGUAGUUACCAGUACCAAGAUUUAACGACUCGAGGAACAGUUGAGUUUCGUAGUGUGUGUACACAGCCACUUGAUAGGACUUUUGCUUCUGCAGCUUUUCACUUGGGAUUAUUGGUUAAUUUAGACAAGUUAGAAGCUUACUUAGAAACAGCACCUUUCUUUAAAGUAUUUGGUUAUGAUUACAAGUCUUUAAGGAGACAAUUUUCUAAGAAAAAUCUUACAGAUGAGGAAGAAACUACGAUUAUUGAAUUUUCCAAAGACUUACUCCUACUAGCUGAGGAGGGACUAGUGGUGAGAAAUAAGGAAGAAAUGACCUAUUUACAGCCUUUGAGAGAAGAAUUGAGCCUAUAAUUUCUCUUAUAAAGGGAGAAUUUUCUGAAAAAUCAUGAUAUAAUGGACGAGACUAUAGAUAAAGGAUAGAGAGUAAUGACAUUAGUUUAUCAAUCAACGCGUGAUGCCAACAAUACAGUAACUGCCAGCCAAGCAAUUUUGCAAGGUUUGGCGACGGACGGCGGUUUGUUUACACCGGUUACUUAUCCAAAGGUAGAUUUGAACUUUGACAAAUUGAAAGAUGCUUCUUACCAGGAAGUUGCUAAGCUAGUUUUGUCAGCAUUUUUAGAUGACUUUACAGUUGAGGAGUUGGACUACUGUAUCAACAAUGCCUACGAUAGCAAAUUUGAUACUCCAGCUAUUGCACCAUUAGUGAAAUUAGAUGGGCAAUACAAUUUGGAACUUUUCCAUGGUUCAACGAUUGCCUUUAAGGAUAUGGCCUUGUCUAUUUUGCCAUACUUUAUGACGACUGCUGCUAAGAAACAUGGUUUGGAGAACAAGAUUGUUAUCUUGACAGCGACAUCUGGUGACACGGGGAAAGCUGCUAUGGCGGGGUUUGCGAAUGUGCCUGGUACUGAGAUUAUCGUCUUUUAUCCAAAGGAUGGUGUCAGCAAGAUUCAAGAGUUACAAAUGACCACUCAGACUGGCGACAAUACUCAUGUUAUUGCUAUUGAUGGUAACUUUGACGAUGCGCAAACAAAUGUGAAGCACAUGUUUAACGACGUGGCUCUUCGUGAAAAAUUGACUACCAACAAGUUGCAAUUUUCAUCAGCUAACUCUAUGAACAUUGGUCGUCUGGUGCCACAAAUUGUUUAUUAUGUUUAUGCUUACGCUCAAUUGGUUAAGACUGGUGAAAUUGUAGCUGGUGAAAAGGUUAACUUCACAGUACCAACAGGAAACUUUGGAAAUAUCUUGGCUGCCUUUUAUGCCAAACAAAUUGGUUUGCCAGUUGGUAAAUUAAUCUGUGCUUCAAAUGACAACAAUGUUUUGACAGACUUCUUUAAAACACGUGUCUAUGACAAAAAACGUGAGUUUAAGGUAACAACCAGCCCAUCUAUGGAUAUCUUGGUAUCUUCAAACUUGGAGCGCUUGAUUUUCCAUCUUUUGGGAAAUAAUGCUGAAAAGACAACUGAACUUAUGAAUGCCUUGAACACGCAAGGACAAUAUAAGUUGACAGACUUUGAUGCAGAGAUUUUGGACCUCUUUGCAGCUGAAUAUGCGACUGAGGAAGAAACGGCAGCAGAGAUCAAGCGUGUUUGUGAGUUAGAUUCUUAUAUCGAGGACCCUCAUACAGCUGUUGCUUCAGCAGUUUAUAAAAAAUACCAAUCGGCCACUGGAGAUGUAACUAAGACAGUGAUUGCUUCAACAGCUAGUCCAUACAAGUUCCCAGUAGUUGCAGUAGAAGCUGUAACUGGAAAAGCAGGUUUAACAGACUUUGAAGCCUUGGCUCAAUUACAUGAAAUCUCAGGCGUUGCAGUGCCACCAGCAGUUGAUGGGCUUGAAAUAGCUCCAAUUCGUCACAAGACAACAGUGGCAGCUGCUGACAUGCAAGCAGCGGUUGAGGCUUAUUUAGGACUUUAAGACAGAGGGAGCAAACUCGGUUGGGAAACCAACUGAGUUUCUUUUCAUCAGGAGGAGAGAUUGUUUAAGAAAAAUAAAGACAUUCUUAAUAUUGCAUUGCCAGCUAUGGGUGAAAACUUUUUGCAGAUGCUAAUGGGAAUGGUGGACAGUUAUUUGGUUGCUCAUUUAGGAUUGAUAGCUAUUUCAGGGGUUUCAGUAGCUGGUAAUAUUAUCACCAUUUAUCAGGCGAUUUUCAUCGCUCUGGGAGCUGCUAUUUNGAUCAGCCAAAGAGAGUAAUAGCCUCGUAUUUAAAAUAGUCUUUGUACCUAGCAGUAUCCUGAGUACGGCGGGACACGUGAAAUCCCGUCGGAAUCUGGGAGGACCAUCUCCCAACCCUAAAUACUCCCUAGUGACCGAUAGUGAACCAGUACCGUGAGGGAAAGGUGAAAAGCACCCCGGGAGGGGAGUGAAAUAGAACCUGAAACCGUGUGCCUACAACAAGUUCGAGCCCGUUAAUGGGUGAGAGCGUGCCUUUUGUAGAAUGAACCGGCGAGUUACGUUAUGAUGCGAGGUUAAGUUGAAGAGACGGAGCCGUAGGGAAACCGAGUCUGAAUAGGGCGCCUUAGUAUCAUGACGUAGACCCGAAACCAUGUGACCUACCCAUGAGCAGGUUGAAGGUGCGGUAAGACGCACUGGAGGACCGAACCAGGGCACGUUGAAAAGUGCUUGGAUGACUUGUGGGUAGCGGAGAAAUUCCAAACGAACUUGGAGAUAGCUGGUUCUCUCCGAAAUAGCUUUAGGGCUAGCGUCGACAUUAGAGAUUCUUGGAGGUAGAGCACUGUUUGGGUGAGGGGUCCAUCCCGGAUUACCAAUCUCAGAUAAACUCCGAAUGCCAAUGAAUUAUGGUCGGCAGUCAGACUGCGAGUGCUAAGAUCCGUAGUCGAAAGGGAAACAGCCCAGACCACCAGCUAAGGUCCCAAAAUAAUUGUUAAGUGGAAAAGGAUGUGGGGUUGCACAGACAACUAGGAUGUUAGCUUAGAAGCAGCUAUUCAUUCAAAGAGUGCGUAAUAGCUCACUAGUCGAGUGACCCUGCGCCGAAAAUGUACCGGGGCUAAAACAAUUUACCGAAGCUGUGGAUACCUUUAUAGGUAUGGUAGGAGAGCGUUCUAUGUGUGAUGAAGGUAUACCGUGAGGAGUGCUGGAACGCAUAGAAGUGAGAAUGCCGGUAUGAGUAGCGAAAGACAGGUGAGAAUCCUGUCCACCGUAAGACUAAGGUUUCCAGGGGAAGGCUCGUCCGCCCUGGGUUAGUCGGGACCUAAGGAGAGACCGAAAGGUGUAUCCGAUGGACAACAGGUUGAUAUUCCUGUACUAGAGUAUGUAGUGAUGGAGGGACGCAGUAGGCUAACUAAAGCAGACGAUUGGAAGAGUCUGUCUAAGCAGUGAGGUGUGAAUUGAGUCAAAUGCUUAAUUCUAUAACAUUGAGCUGUGAUGGGGAGCGAAGUUUAGUAGCGAAGUUAGUGACGUCACACUGCCAAGAAAAGCUUCUAGCGUUUAAACAUACUCUACCCGUACCGCAAACCGACACAGGUAGUCGAGGCGAGUAGCCUCAGGUGAGCGAGAGAACUCUCGUUAAGGAACUCGGCAAAAUGACCCCGUAACUUCGGGAGAAGGGGUGCUGACUUUAAGUCAGCCGCAGUGAAUAGGCCCAAGCAACUGUUUAUCAAAAACACAGCUCUCUGCUAAAUCGUAAGAUGAUGUAUAGGGGGUGACGCCUGCCCGGUGCUGGAAGGUUAAGAGGAGUGCUUAGCGUAAGCGAAGGUAUGAAUUGAAGCCCCAGUAAACGGCGGCCGUAACUAUAACGGUCCUAAGGUAGCGAAAUUCCUUGUCGGGUAAGUUCCGACCCGCACGAAAGGCGUAAUGAUUUGGGCACUGUCUCAACGAGAGACUCGGUGAAAUUUUAGUACCUGUGAAGAUGCAGGUUACCCGCGACAGGACGGAAAGACCCCAUGGAGCUUUACUGCAGUUUGAUAUUGAGUGUCUGUACCACAUGUACAGGAUAGGUAGGAGUCUAAGAGAUCGGGACGCCAGUUUCGAAGGAGACGCUGUUGGGAUACUACCCUUGUGUUAUGGCCACUCUAACCCAGAUAGGUGAUCCCUAUCGGAGACAGUGUCUGACGGGCAGUUUGACUGGGGCGGUCGCCUCCUAAAAGGUAACGGAGGCGCCCAAAGGUUCCCUCAGAAUGGUUGGAAAUCAUUCGCAGAGUGUAAAGGUAUAAGGGAGCUUGACUGCGAGAGCUACAACUCGAGCAGGGACGAAAGUCGGGCUUAGUGAUCCGGUGGUUCCGUAUGGAAGGGCCAUCGCUCAACGGAUAAAAGCUACCCUGGGGAUAACAGGCUUAUCUCCCCCAAGAGUUCACAUCGACGGGGAGGUUUGGCACCUCGAUGUCGGCUCGUCGCAUCCUGGGGCUGUAGUCGGUCCCAAGGGUUGGGCUGUUCGCCCAUUAAAGCGGCACGCGAGCUGGGUUCAGAACGUCGUGAGACAGUUCGGUCCCUAUCCGUCGCGGGCGUAGGAAAUUUGAGAGGAUCUGCUCCUAGUACGAGAGGACCAGAGUGGACUUACCGCUGGUGUACCAGUUGUCUUGCCAAAGGCAUCGCUGGGUAGCUAUGUAGGGAAGGGAUAAACGCUGAAAGCAUCUAAGUGUGAAACCCACCUCAAGAUGAGAUUUCCCAUGAUUAUAUAUCAGUAAGAGCCCUGAGAGAUGAUCAGGUAGAUAGGUUAGAAGUAGAAGUGUGGCGACACAUGUAGCGGACUAAUACUAAUAGCUCGAGGACUUAUCCAA